This is a long non-coding RNA of Branchiostoma floridae (Florida lancelet), 636 nucleotides long. RefSeq lists it as uncharacterized. NCBI's taxonomy places the organism in Eukaryota, Metazoa, Chordata, Leptocardii, Amphioxiformes, Branchiostomatidae. The transcript is spliced from 2 exons. The record is from RefSeq and is a predicted model, not a curated record.
ACAAUAGGCAUGUCAAACCUACCCCCUUCCCGCAUUAGAACUAAGCGGCCCGCGGGGCCGUAAAUGUUUUUAAGAAAAUCUUAAAAAUCAACCGCUUGAAUAAUGCCAAUCAAAAUCGUUGUCUAUAAUCUAUGGAAUGUUGACUACGAUACUAUCUGAUUUUUAGUUGACAAUAUCCAUAUAAUAAGGAGCUAAAAAUCAUAAAAGUUGGAGAUACAGCCGGAAAAAUGCCCCGUUUUGACGCCGCGCGCGCGGCACGCUAUUUCGAAGGCCGCCCGGCGGAGAUGCAAUUUUCAACUCAAAAGCCACAAGCCGCCGUGCAUCGGAGAACUCUGGGAAUGAUUCCAGGUGAAAGGGCAGAGAUCAAGGUUCACUCCAGUGGUUGCACAAUUUUGCUACGUCAUUCCUGGCGGAAGUUAUGGGCCAGAGUAGGGAAACCUCCGAAAUUGACACAAAAGGGACAUAUCCUGGGCAGAUAAGCGGAAACAGCAAAAUAGAGACUUGUCAAAACUGCUCACCAGAGACAAGGCUGCAGACACCGAGACAACAGAUCAAGUUUAGACACGACAUGUUUGGAGUUGCAAUAAUUGGUGACGAACAUUGAAAGUUAUUUGAUCUUAUUCUUUGUUAUUGUUU